GUAUUGUGUGAUGGAUCCCUGCUCGGGCAGCGACAUCAUGUCAUCCACGUCUCUUCAGUUUCUUGGCGCGAGCAUUUGCUUGCCCGAUGUUGGUCUUUUCCUGUGUUGAAUACCCGUAUUCAUGGCACGAAUUUGGUUAAAUUGUCCUUUUCCCGCCUUGUGCCGCUGCCCCUUGCGGGCGGGCGGUUCGGGGUGGGCCAAACAGUGCAUGCCGUGUGUCCCAUCCCAAUCUCCCCCAAAACGGGCGUUUGGGCUGACGAUCCGCGACAUGAGCUCGUUCUCUUGGGUCCGGAACAUUGCGUGGGUACGGGGCCAUCGGCCUCGGAGCACCACAACAAAGCGUUCUACGCUUCGUGCGAACGACUGUUGGUUCGGCCUCUGGCUGGGCACUCGUGGCCUGGUUCAGAGUCGUGCCGACGUCGAUGAGGAAUGCUACCU
RNAcentral lists this unclassified non-coding RNA (438 nucleotides) under Thymbra capitata (conehead thyme). RNAcentral's name for it is "partial external transcribed spacer". The record is from RNAcentral. Lineage: Eukaryota; Viridiplantae; Streptophyta; Magnoliopsida; Lamiales; Lamiaceae.